RNAcentral lists this long non-coding RNA (18202 nucleotides) under Nicotiana tabacum (common tobacco). RNAcentral describes it as "long non-coding RNA (NTAB_LNC003163)". Lineage: Eukaryota; Viridiplantae; Streptophyta; Magnoliopsida; Solanales; Solanaceae. The record is from RNAcentral.
CCCAAAAAAGGAAAAAGCCUUAAGACGUGGACUUUUCUAACACUUCAUAAACCGAAAGAGCCCGAAGACGUCGACUUCUGAUCUCCUCUGUUUUGAACGAAUUAGCAGAGAACUGCUGCGACGAGUUCAAAUAAUUAGAGAAAGACGUCGACUUCUCUCCUCUAUUUUGAACGAAUUAGCAUAGAACUGAUGCGAUGAAUUCAAAUAAUUAGAGAAUCUGUUCUACUCGUAAAAUUUAGUGAAUUAGAGAACGAAGCUACUCGUCACCUCCAUUGACAACAAUUGCUCAUCUUCGAGUUUCUUCUCAUCAAGGUAAGGUUCAAAAUUUUACCCUUUUAUAUGUGAAUUGAUUAAUAAUUUCGCUAAAAAAGGCAUCUGAACUAGGAGCAGGGACGAGAGAGGCUAGAGCAUAGAUUGUGAUUUGACUCCCCAUCUGUUGAGCGAUAUCUGUUUUGAACGAGCAACUACUAUAUCUCCUGUCACGAUUAAAUCAUUUUCUCUAACAACUUAUUCUGAAUGUCAAUUUCAUACUAUCGGUUUCACUAAGUGCCAAGUAUAACUGUCGAAAUAUCGGUCCUCCUAAAAUUAAAGUUGAUAAUUAUUAGCUGCUAUAUAACUAUAGAGUUGUGAUCACACUUGUAUGUAUAUGGAUAUUGGUGUUUACUUUGGUGAAAGAAUGACACAUAAUACAAAAAAUGUUUCUCUCUAUAAAUUGUCUGAUUCUACGGUGAGGUUUGCUGGUUAAUUGCGUAUUUCAAUUUGAUCCAUUGUUGAUUUUCAAUCUUGGCCUCUCAUCCCUUUUAUAUACGAUGGCUUGCUUGAAUGGAAAUUUUUUGUGAAACUUUUUUCUUGUUUUAAACUAUACAAAUUUGAUCAGAGGUAUGGGGUAUGAGAAUUGGCCAAGUUAUUUGGUAGUGUGUCUCUGUUUUCAAUCUCUAUUAUAGUGCAAAAGAUUAGUAUGAAAGAAUGAGCACGGUCAAGUUGGCAUUGAUAUGGAUCAGCCCCUUUCUGUGUUGUUUUAGACAUAGCCGAUUUUAUAGUUAUAUUUUUGUUGCAUUGCACAUUGAAAUUGAAAAUUGCAAAUUAAGCUAAUAUCUAGGAUUCCAUUCCUAACUGAGAUAAAUAGAACAUUUAAAUUAAUUCUGAAAUCUGGACAAUAUCUUACUAAACCGAGUUCGAUGUGUUCGUUGUGAUUGAAAACAAAUCAUCGAUUCCUUAUGUCAUUUAUUUUUCAGCAUUUUGUUAGAUAUAGUGGACAAUGUCCAUUUGAUGACUUAGUAUCAUUUGAAUUUUUAUUUUUAUGAGAGACGUCCGAUAAGGAGAUAUCUCGUUUCUUGCUUUUUGAAAAUAGAUUAAUAGCAUUAGAAGUCAGUCCUACUUAAAUAUUUUGGAAAACAUAGUAUUGUCAAGGAGAAACUUGCAGCAUGUGUUAAUCGUGUACCAGGCAAGCACAACUCCUAAUUAGUAAUCUAACUAGCUAAUGUAACCUUCAUUUUUCUAUCUUUCACCAACUAGAUGAUCCAUUUGUCAAAGUAUCUUUGCCGUCAUUUGCCUAUUUAGACCUUAGCAAUUCAGCUUCAAUUCAACAUGCUGCUAUUACUGUUGUGCUUGAGAAAAUGUUGUACACUCUUAUUGUCAUGAAUUGAAUUAUAGUACAGAGUGCUAAUUCAUCUUCAUUUCCUAGUCUCACUUUGCAUUGGAACUUAGAAGUUUGAUUCAUGUACUGUCUCGUCAGUGAUAUAAAGCAUUGUUGGUUACAAGAUUGUUAACCAUGGAGUGCUUUAUAUCUUUUAGUUUCUUUAUAAUGUGCGAUACAGAACUUGGAUAUAUGAACUCAAUAUACUAUUGUUUCACUUGUUUGCUGGGCUGCUACGACGUUGAAAUUAUUGAUGUCCACUUUUUUCGUUUUCUCUUUAGAGAAACUACAUUCCCAAAAGAUCAAUACUACAAAUAAUUGAAGGGAUAUGCAUUGAAAUUUUGUAAAAUGUCUUGUCAACACCAUUUUUUUCAUCUUCUCGAGUCGAAGGUCUUGAUGCCUUGUUUUUAUUAGGUAAUGUAUGAUUUCGAGUCUCCACUGUCCAAUCUCACCCUUUUGAUUGUUGCCCAGUUUGCGCAUCAGCAGCUCCUAUAUUUUGGACUGGUGUAACAUUAGGUUCACGUAUCCCAGCUUUCUUCUCCUUCAUACCUGGUGUAUCAAAAGCAUUUGAACAGCUGAUAUUUUGUGCAGCAGUGCUCUGAUUUUUGUGACUUGGUGCAUUCUUUUUGCUAGGUGAUAGGUGUGCUCAAUUUAGUACUGUCCAGUCUCCUCCCUUAGACUGCUGCACACAUUGAACACCAGAUUUUAAAGCAUCAACUGCCUCUAUGUGCACUGCAACAGAUGUCUCUUGAGUCUUGGGCACCUGCUUUCCAGUUUUGAGCACCCCAGUUCUCCUCUCCUUCUCACUAACUUUCUGAACAUUAGUCUACACCACGACUGGUUUGGUUAUUGUAUUAGCUUGAUCACCAAUCCCAUCCACCUUAGUAUUAGUUUGAAAAUCUGAAUUCACAGCCUUGUCCUUGACCAUUAGUACUUUGGCCAACUCCUGUAGCUGUUGAAUUAGCACCUCGAUCAACCUUAGAGUUUUUAGCAGCCUGCAUCUCACCUGUCAACUCCUGAGAAUCCCUACCUACGGCUGUUUCAAUAGGGACUAUGGCAAUCCUAGUAGCAGCAGUUGUAUGUGUAGUUUUACCAUUAAUUUUAGUUGAUUCCAAGCCUCUUUCAUCAGCAAUCUUCUGCAACUUUUUUACAUCCAACGGUUGCCUCAAAUCACCUUGAAAUCGAUCAUCACCACCUGUCCCAACCUCCAAUGUAUAUCUUUAUCUCUUUGCAUGUUACUGCUAGUAAUAUUUGUAUUCAAACAACAAUUAACCUCUUGUUAUAGUUUAUUCAAAUAAGUUUACUGACCAUUAAUAUGCUCAUAACAUAAAAAGCAUAUGAGAGGAAGUCUAAAAGACAUACAAGUGCAGGUAGACAUAGUAAAAAGUACUGGUUCAUUUUUUGGUAAGCUGGUGGAAGAUUGCCAAAUAGUAUUUAGGAGCAUUGGUUGAGAUUCAUGACAUUUAUUUUGGUUUUGUGUCAGGGGAAAUUUUGGAAAGGUGACAAAGUAUAUUUCGGGUCAAAUAAUGAUUGGGUAAUUUGGUAUAAGUUAGUCUGGUACUUCGCUAGUCUUGUCUCCUGGCUGGGUUUGCAUUAUUUUUACUUUUCAUUAUUUUGGUAAGACGGGUUUCUUACAAUUUGGAUUGGUUUCUAGUAAAUAUGAUACUUUAGUUCUUUGUAUUAACAAGAUAUCAAAUAUUUGAUUUAUUUUCCAAUGUCGUUAAGCGUGUAUGAAAGCAUAUAAAUAAUUAUUACUAUUCAUGUAAUUUAAAUUUAUAUUAUAUUUAUUACAUUUUCAUAUUAGCGAAGACAAAUGUGGUCAUUAAAACUCUUUAACGACGGGUUUCUCAAACAGAUAAAUGACUAUUAACGAAGAGAAUUUUGGUUGUUAAAAGUAAUUAUACAAUUAACGAAGGAAAUACCGGUCGCUAAAAGCACUCGAAUUGACUUAAUACAUUGUUGUCAUUAAAGACUUUUAACGACCGGAUAACAAAUUAGCGAGGGGAAAAUCUUGUCGCUAAAAAGUAUGUUUAACGAUCAAAAAUUACAUCGUCGCUAAAGAUCCUUUAACGACCGGAUUGUAAACCGGUCGUUAACUUAUAACGUCGGCACUUUUAAUGACCGAUGACGAUCGGAUUUUUUUCGGUCGUUAUCAACUGAUAACGAUCAAAAUUGGACUUUUAACAACCAGAUUUUCCCUCGCUAAAGCCCCAUUUUCUUGUAGUGAUUUUAGAAAUAGCUGGUUUUUAUUUAGUGCAUAAAUAGGAAGUAAAAGUUUAAAUAAAAUGAGAGAUAAAUAAUUUUAAGAGCAAAUGAGAUGAGUAAAUAUCCAAAAAUCAUCAUGUGUCUACUAGCAUCAUCUCCAAGAUCAUGUGUCAUAAGUGUAUGAGCUCCUAGUAGAAUAUACAAAAAUACUACGCUGUUGUAUGAAGUGAAAUAGACAGAAAGUAAAAGCAAAAGGAAGACUUCGGGUGCUGCAGAACGGGCUCGGAAGGCAGUUCACCGCAAAGUCUCGUGGAAGUCAAGGAUGCACACCGAACUGAUAACCAGAUGCACCUACCUCAGAUCCUCCACAAUUAGUGUAGAAGUAUAGCGUGAGUACAUAAACAACAUGUACCCAGUAAGUAUCCAGUCUAACCUCGAAGAAGUAGUGACGAGGGGUCGACUUCGACACUUACUAUGGGCUAACAAUAAAAUACCGAAAUUAUAAUUAAGCAUGGGCUAUAUAAAUACAGCUAAAAACUCAAUAACAGGAAAUAAAUAAACAAUUUUCUCGCAAAUAGUAAAUCCCAAAUUAAUUUUCAUCAUUUAACAAGUUAAUCUCUCAAGCCAAUAAAACAAUAUCAAUUAUAAUUGGGCUCCGAGAAUUAUUACGCACGAAUUAUACCGAGGUCAUACGUCCCGAUCCAACAUACAAAUAUAUAUAAACUGUGUGCCGAGGGUCGAACGACACGAACCAUAGAUGCAUCUAUUCUAUUGUCGAGGCGUCCGACCCACUCCACAAGAAGAGAAAACAACCGAUUCAAAGAUUAGUAAGAGGCUAAUAUUCAAAGAAGCACCAAUUCUUAUUAAUGGUCAAGUAACCCAUCCAAAACUCGAGUAAAUAAAAUUAGACCUUUUACAAUUCUUCUAUCAAGUCCCAAUAUGAUUUAAGCACUUAAAUUAACAAGUAGGGUGCAAUCAUCACAAGUAUAAUAUGCUCUGGAUCAUAAACUACCGGACAUAAGCAUAAUUACUAGCUACGCAAGGACUCUCGUCACCUCGUGCGUAGCCCCCACAAAUAGAAGCCCAUAUUAAUUCAAUUUUCUAUGGGGUUAAUUCCCUCUUACAAGGUUAGAAAAGAGACUUAUCUCGUCUCAAAACUUACUUCCCGGUCCAUAAAUGUGCUUUAAACUCUCAACCCUGUGCCAAAUGACUCGAAAUUAGUCAAAUGUCAUAUAAAAUAAUCAAUACGUGCUCAAAAGUUCAUAUUCUAACUAUUAAAGUGAUUACCCAAUUCCAAUUAAAGAAUUCCUAAAAUUCAUCCCCGGGCCUACCUGCCUGGAUUCUGGAAACUUUCGAAGAAAAUUGUUACCCAUAACCUCGUGAACUCAAAUAUAUGAUUCUCACAAAAUUCCAUAACUAUUUUUUGUGGUUAAAUCCUAUUUUUAUCAAAAACCUAGGGUUUUCAUCUAAACCCAUUAUUUCACAAAUUUUACAUGUUAAAUCUACCCAUAAUCUUUAUAUUUAACUCACAUUAUAUAGAAAUUACUUACCUCAAAGUGUCAAGUGAAAACCCCUCUCUAAGAGCUCCAAAAAUCCCCAAGGAAUGAAAUAAAUGAACUCAAAUGCCUAAAUCCCGAAUUAAAUGAAGUAUUAUGCCUUCUGCGAUUUUCACAUCUGCGGUCAGGGGGCCGCAACUGCGGUCUCACUUCUGCGACACCAAGUCCACUUCUGUGGAGCUCCACAGGACCAGUGUUGGCCGCAUCUGCGGACGUGUUUCCAUUUUUGUGGUCUCACUUCUGCGGCUUCUCAUCGUAGAAGCAGGGUCGCUUCUGCGGAUCCUGGUCAAACGCUCCAAGCCGCUUCUGCUGCCAAAAUGCCGCAUCUGCGGGCUCGCACCUGCGGUCAAAAGCUUGCAGGUGCGGGCACACCAGAACUGGUGCACCAGCAGUCCCUCUUGAGUUCUAACUCAACUCGCGCAUCGUUCGAAUGGCAUCCGGGGCCCCUAAGGCCCCGCCCAAACAUACUAACAAGUUUGAAAUCAUAAGGCGGACUCGCUUGUACCCUUAGAACGCGUAAAGCAACAUCAAAACUAAGAAUCACGCCCCAUACCGAAUUGAAUCAAGAUAUGAACUUCAAGUUCUUCCAACUAACUCCGAAUGCGUCGGACAUACUUAGACUACUCGGAAUGACACCAAAUUUUGCAUGCAAGUCUUAAAUCACCAUACGGUUAUUCCCGAUCUCGAAAUUCCAAUUGGACCUCGAUAACACCAAAACCUACUCCAAACCAAACUUAAAGAACUUUAAAACUUUCAAAGAGCCAACUUUCACUACUAGGCGCCAAAACGCUCCCAGGUUAUCCAAAAUCCGGUUCGAAUAUAUACCCAAGUCCGAAAUCAUCAUACGAACCUAUUGCAACCGUCAAAUCCCGAUUCCGAGGUCGUUUACCCAAAAUGUUGACCGAGGUCAAACUUAGCCUUUUAAAGACAAACCAAAGAACCAAGUGUUCCGAUUUCAACCCGAACCCUUCCAAAUCACGAACUAACCAUCCCCGCAAGUCAUAAAACAGCAAAAGCACCUACAAGGAGUCUUAUUUAGGGGAACAAGGUUCUAAAAAGUAAAACGACCGGUCGGAUCAUUACAUACGUUGUCUAUAUUACAUGCAAGUGAUCCUGGCUAUUUGCUUCCGCCGUUUGUUCCUGUUUUCCAUCAAUUGGUGCCAGAGUCUGCUUGUAUCUAAUUAGAUUACACUGAAUGGUCAUAUAUUUGUGCACGUUGAUAUAUAUUUGAAAUCUUUAUUUUUCUUUCGAAUUUGAUUCGACGGAUGAAAAGCAUGGUGUAUAUGAUUGUAUGUUGUUGAUGCAAUUGCGGGUUUUUUAAACCCCUGUUUUGCCAUCUUAAAUUUUAACUAAUAAUCAUAUUAUAAGAAUUUGCCGUUGAGGUUUUCUGUGCUGGUGGCGGAGUUAAAGCCAAAUUUCUUGCCAACUAGGUUUGAGUUUUAACCCAAAGAUUGCUGCCUGUGAUUAUAUCCGGUGGCGCACUGUGUUAGUUUAUUAAAAAUUCACGUUGGCAGCAAGAAACUUAAUUAUUUCCGAUUUAUUUGGUCAAUCUGCCAUGGUUGAUCACUAGAAUAUCAUGAGGCAUUGGGUUUAAAAUUGCACAUGAUCAUGUAUGUAUUAUUUUCUCAGUAAGUAAAAAACAAGUAAUUGUUUUUCUGGGAGUAUUGAUUGGUUACCAAUUUUGACUUGCUGAAUUACUAUAAAGAAAGAUGAUACAACUGCAAGGUUUAGGUGGCGGCAGUGAGUAUAUUUUCAUUAAAAUUAGAUUACAAUCUGUACUUCUCAAAAGGUUGCUUGGCAAGGUGAAACCUUAUUCUUUCCCAAAUUGUAUUGUGGUGGCAGUACGGUGCUAAAAUUAUUUUUAUAGAAUAAUAUGAAUAAAGUAAAACAAGAGAAAUUUAGAGGGAGAUAAUACUAUAUCUUUUCUUGAUGAUUUUAUUACAAAUGAGUAGAGAAGUCUCUUAUUUAUAAGAGAGUUGCUGGGUUAUCAAGUAACUAGUCUUGGUGGCCAAGUAACAAAUCUUGGCAAGCAAGUAACCAAUCUUAGUAACCAAGUAACUAGACUAGUUUAUGACUAACUAACUUGCUUUCAAGUAACUUCAUAACACAUGGAUAUUCACUCUUAAUAUUAUUUAUAACACUCCCCCUUGAAUGUCCAUUAGUAGAAAAUGUGACUCGUUAAAACCUUACUAGGAAAAACCCAGUGGGAAACAAUUAUAGCGAAGGAAAAAGAGUACACAUGUUUAAUAAUACGCUUUUUGGUUGCCUCGUUAAAAAUCUUGCAAGGAAAACCCAAUGGGAUAAAACCUUAUAAGGGAAAAAGAGUACAACGCGUAUUAACUCACCCUGAUGAGAGCAUCAAUUCACAUCCUUAAGCCUUCGCAUCCCAAUCUUGUGCACUAGCUUCUUAAAUGUUAACGUCGGUAGAGAUUUGGUGAACAAAUCAGCCAUAUUACCACUUGAACGAAUCUGUUGCACAUUGAAAUCACCAUUCCUUUGAAGAUCAUGUGUGAAAAAUAACUUUGGUGAAAUGUGCUUUGUCCUAUCUCCUUUUAUGAAUCCUCCCUUCAAUUGGGUUAUGCAUGCAUGCUUCAUUGUCUUCAUACAAAAUGGUGGGUAGUUUGUCACACUUCAAACCAUAUUUUUCUCGAAUAAGAUGUAUUAUAGACCUCAAUCACACACAUUCUCGACUUGCUUCAUGACUAGCAAUUAUCUCUGCAUGAUUAGAUGAAGUAGCCAUGAUUGAUUGCUUGGUCGAUUGCCAAGAUAUGGCAGUGCCUCCAUAUGUAAACACAUAACCUGUUUGAGAUCGAGCCUUGUGUGGGUCAGAUAAAUAUUCAGCAUCGGCAUAACCAACAAGAUCAGGACUGCAAUCAUUGUCAUAAAAUAAGCCCAUAUCGAUAGUCCAUUUUAGAUACCGCAAUAUGUGUUUGAUUCCAUUGCAAUGUUUUUCUGUAGGAGCAGAGCUAUAUCUUGCUAAGUCAUUAAGUAAAAAGGUUAUGUCAGGCUUUGUAGUAUUAGCAAGAUACAUUAGUGCACCAAUUGCACUAAGAUAUGGUACUUCAGGAUCAAGAAGCUCUUCAUUCUUUUCUUGAGGUCAGAAUGGGUCCUUAUUCACAUCAAGUGAUCGAACAACCAUCGGAGUACGUAGUGGAUGUUCUCCAUCCAUGUAAAACCGUUUCAAUACCUUUUCUAUGUAGGCAGAUCGAUGAACAAAAAUCCUGUUUGCCAAAUGUUCAAUUUGGAAAUCGAGACAUAAUUUUGUCUUUUAGAGAUCUUUUGUAACGACCCGAUCGGUCGUUUUGCUUUCUAGAACCUCGUCCCUAAAUAAUACUCCCCGUACGUUCUUUUACUAUUUUAUGACUUGCGGAGAUGGCUAGUUCGGGAUUUGGAAGGGUUCGGGUUGAAAUCGGAAUACUUGGUUCCUUAAGAUUGGCCAAAAAGGCUAAGUUUGACUUCGGUUAACGUUUUGAAUAAACGACCUCAGAAUCGGGAUUUGACGGUUCCAAUAGGUUCGUAUGAUAUUUUGGACUUGGGCGUAUGUUCGGAUCGGGUUUUGGAUGACCCAGGAGCAUUGCAGCACCUAAUAGUGAAAGAUGGCUCUUUGAAGGUUUUUGUUACACCCUAUAUUUUCGUACGUAAAAGUGCAUCGUAAGCAAACUAAUGUAGGACCAAAAAUGAGAUCAUCUUUGAAAGUAUAUAAAGUAAGUUAAUCAUGUUACCCCGGAGGUUAAAAAUAUUGAUGAUCAUGAACAACAAGUACAAAGAGGGUUGGAAGGUUCAGAAGCUAAAGGAAUUGAAGAAAAUAAUAUUUCGUCGAAAGUCGACAAAUUGGGAAUGUUAUAACACGUACUUUUGGGGUGAGACUAGGGUGCUUAACAUGAUAAGGAGGUUAUGUUAUGAGUUAUGAGUUAUGUUAGUCGUAUGAUAGUCGUGUGUUAUGUUUUGAAGUCAAGCGAGUUGUGGAACAAAAGUUGAUGAAAGUCAUCACAAGUUACGUUCAUAAGUUUUACUGAAAUUUGAGUCAAAUGUAACUGCGCAUUUCUCCCAAUAUACUUAGAGUUACAGGGUGUUCCACCCAUAAAAUUGAAGAUCUAUUAGUCUAUUUUCUAACACAUUAAACUUUUUGUCAAUAUGACAUCGUAGUAGAGAGGUAUAUGCGUUUUUGCGAGACUGCACAAGCUGCUAGGUGACAAGUAGGUAUGUCACCUACUUGCUUAAAUGAGAGUCCGACAAUGGGCCAGUUCGGGUCGUCCAAAGAGACAUUUUAAAGGCCUAUUUCGUUCAUAUAAUACACUGAUAAUAGGGCACAAUAUCCAAACCUAAACCCCUUCAAACAUCUUCCCAAAAAUUACACACAAACCCUAAUUGAAUUUCUCUCCUUUUCAAGUUCUAGUUGGAGGUAAAACCUAGAGUUUGAAGAACCAAGAUAGCAUCUGAGUUAUUCAACAAAUAAGGUAAGUUUACCGAUCUCUUUUAUCCAUUUUUUCUGCUGGAGAUGCAUGGAAAGUCGUUUUAUAAUUGUAAGAACUCACGGGACGGUGAUAGGAAGCCGUGAGUUCGAGUGAUUCACUUGUAGCGGACUAUUUUGUGGACUGUUUUGAGUUGCUAUUGGAUUGCGUGUUUUACUACUAUUUUAUGGAGUUUUGGAGGAUUAUGGGUGUGGAGAAACACCACAUAAAUGUAGGGUGGUGGGCUGGUCGUUCGUCAUAAUAUUUUCAGGCUGUUUGACACUACUACGGUGGUCGUUUUGUGUAUGAAGAGAUUGGGGUGUGUUGGGCUGUUUUGUAGUAUUUUGUGGUGUAUAUAAGUUUGGAAAAUAAUGUAUAUAUGUUGAUAUUAUUAUGUUCUUAUGUUGUUAGUAUUAUCUUGAAUUUGUAGGAAGUAAGGAUUAUAGGGGAGAUGCUGCCCGUUUUAAUAUAAAAUAAGCUUGUCGUUCGUUGUGCAAUAGUUGUACCUUUCGUAACUUAAUGAUAGUAUUAUUAUUGUUGUUAUAGAUUAAGGUGCGAAGUGGCAAGUUUAAAUUGGUGAUUGGAAAGAUUGUGAUAAGGUAUGUUAAGGCUAAACCUUUCUUCAUUUUGGCAUGAUCCUGUAACUACAUGAGUUUGAUAACAAGGCAUAAAGAGAAGUUCGUAUUCCUGAACUUAUGUACAUUAUCCUAGUCUCAUAAGUUAUAAUAUUCUCCCUUAUCAGGACUUUAUAUUCAGUUAAAUAUUUUCUUCUUCCAGUCAAGAGGGCAGAGGGUCUCUAUAUAUAUAUAGUAUUACAGUAUUUUCACCACCAUCGAGCUAUAAUCGAUGGGUAGGCCCCUAUUGGGCAACCUUUUAUCAUAUGGUAAAUUAUAUACCGAGGCUAUUGUGGCCGAGCGACGAUGAGUGAGACCAUAAUGACCAAUAUACCUAGCCUAGUAUGGCCGAGCACAUAUGAGCGAGCCUACUAUAGCCGAGCAGUUACACGUACCUAGCCUUAUAGGACCGGACAUUUAUUUUACUUACUAUAUUGAGAGAGUUGAGUUAAUAUCAACAAGUAAGUAUAUCUCCAGAUCAUCCUUGACUCCCAGUUACUUUCAGUUAUUAUAUUAUCAGUUCAGUUUCAGCUUUAAGUUAUUUUAUUGUCUUAAAAACGCGAUACAUUAUUUCGUAUUGACGUCCCUUUUCGGGGGACGCUGUAUUUCAUGCAUGCAGGUUCAGAUAGAUAGACGGGUAGACCUUCUCAGUAGGUGUUGUCUGAGUUCAACUUGAUCGGUAAGCUCCACGUCCUUCGUAGUUGCCGAGUCUAGGGUUUUUCGUGUAUAUAUUGUGUAUAUAUAUAUAUGUAUGGGUAGGUCGAGGCCCUGUUACGAUCACAGUACAUCCAUCAGUAGAGGUUUGUAGAUAUAUCCUGUCAGUUAGUGCACCAUGUUGGGCUUGUAGGCUUUAUAUGUAUAUUUUGUUGAUUUGUGAGCAUUAGUAGUUAUGACGGCCUUGUCGGCUCAACUUUAUAGUGAUCUUUAGUCAAAGCUAGUUUCCGUUCUGUUUUAUAUUUUGCUUCGCAAAUCGUCUUGAAAUGUGGCCCCAUGGCCAAAUUAUGACAUUGUAUGUUCAGAGUCCCUCAGUCGCAAGUUGGUAUGCUAGGUUAAGUGAGGCACACGGUGUCGGUCUCUCCCCCAGGUUCGGGGCGUGACAAACUUGGUAUCAGAGCAGUUCUGUCCUAGGGAGUCUACAAGCCGUAUCUAGUAGGAUCUUGUGCACCACAUUAUAUAAGCAGGGAACUACAGGGCAUUUAGGAGUUGGUUGCCCUUCUUUCAAAUCUAAAUCGUGCUAUAGAACUGAGUUAUAGGAAAUUUGAGUUAAACUUACGUGUUGGUGUUUGCAUACACAGAUGACGAUGACUAGGAAGACUAUGGCUAGUCAGAGGAGAGACACAUCAGUGGGUGAGGGGACCAGCAGGGUACCCCCAAUAGAUAGGGCCCAGUCUGAGGUCCAGGGUGAGACCCCUACUCAACCAUUACUGGCUCCUCCACCACCCGAGGAGAUUCCUAGGGAUACCGCACAUCCAGUUCCCCCUCCACUUUCAUCAGAUCAGUACUUGCGGAGUGCAGUGCAUUUGUUGAUACAGUUGGUAGCUACCCAGCAACAGGCUAGGGCAUCAGCUAGUGCGGGAUCUUCUGAGGGGUCUGGAAGUUCAAGGGUCCGAGAGUUUAUUGCUUUGAGUCCCCCAGAGUUCACGGGGACAGAUCAGAGGGAGGACCCACAAGAUUUCAUAGAUCAGAUUUACAGGAUCUUUCGGGUUAUGCAUGCCACGGAGAAAGAGGCAGUUGAGCUAGCAGCUUUUUAAUUCCGAUAUAUAGCCAUCAUUUGGUACGAGGGAUGGGAGAGGUCCAGGGGACGUGAUGCACCUCCAGUUAUUUGGGAGAAUUUUUCAGAUGCCUUCCUUGACCAGUACUUACCGCGGGAGAUCCGACAGGCUCAAGCCGAUCAGUUUCUAGCCCUCAAGCAGGGCAAUAUGAGUGUCCGAGAGUAUAGUCUCCAUUUUGACUCAUUGGCCAGAUAUGCACCAUCCAUAGUUGCUACUAUGCGGGACAGGAUCCACAGGUUUAUCGCGGGGUUGGCCCAGAGUUGACCGAGGCAUGUGCCACCACUGCAUUGCAGGAUAUUAUGGAUAUCUCCCGGAUUCAGGCAUUCGUCCAGAAUAUAAAAAGGGAUAGGCAUCGGCAGCAGGGUACAAAGAGGACUGAGCAAGGACAGCGUAAGAGGAUGAGAUUUUCCAUGUCUCAAGAGCAGUCUCAGGGUAGUUAUAGGCCCCAGUACUUCAGACGGCCACCUAGGCCUUUGCCACCUCAGUUACAGGGUUACAGAUAUGACUGCUAUACUCAGUCAGGACCAGGUGAGAGCUCACGGGUGUCGGGUUUGCAGCGACAGCGAGAUUUAGGGUAGACAUGGUCAUUUCUACCGCAGUGUGACAUCUGUGGUAGAGGACACUUGGGACAAUGCCGAGCAAGUUCUGAUGCUUGUUAUACAUGUGGGGUGUCUGGGGCACAUGAUGCGAGAUUACCCAAAUAGAGAUUUUGGGGGUAUGGCACAACUAGCGAGUUCAGCAACAUGAUCAUCUAUGUCCGUGCAUCCUUUAGGGCAUGAGUCUUAGUCUUCGGCUGGCAGAGGUAGAGAUUUCAGUUCAGGUAGUAAUCAAAACCGUAUCUAUGAUUUAGCGGGUCGGCAGGACCAGGAGUCUUCACCAGACGUUGUGACAUGUAUAUUGACCAUUUGCUCACGAUGCUUAUGCCUUGAUAGAUCCAGGAUCUACUUUAUCGUAUAUUACCCCAUUUGUCACGGAGAAGUUUGGUGUAGUGCCUGAAGUACUAAGUGAUCCUUUUGCGGUAUCUACACCAGUCGGAGAACUAAUUAUUGCUAGACGGGUUUACCAAGGUUGUACGGUGAAAGUUUGUAGUCGUCGGACCUCAGGCGGCUUACUUGAGCUAGAGAUGAUAUAUUUUGAUGCUAUCAUGGGCAUAGACUGGCUGGCAGCUUGCUAUGCCACAGUUUAAUGCCGAGUAAAGGCAGCCAGAUUUCAUUUUCUGGGUGAGCCAGUCCUUGAAUGGGUAGGUAAUACAGUGACACCCAGAGGUAGGUUUAUUUCCUAUCUGAAGGCAAGAAAAAUGAUCGCAAAAGGGUGCAUUUAUCAUAUUGUACGAGUUAGAGAUGAAGAUGCUGGGAUAUGUACACUUCAGUCUAUUCCAGUAGUCAAAGAGUACGCAGAUGUGUUACCAGAUGGGCUUCCAGGUAUUCCUCCAGAGCGAGAGAUUUAUUUUAGCAUCGAUUUGCUUCCGGGAACUUAACCAAUAUCUAUCCCUCCGUAUAGAAUGGCACCUGCCGAAUUGAAGGAGUUGAAGGAGCAGUUAAAAGAUUUGAUGGAGAAAGGUUUCAUCAGACCCAGUACCUCGCCUUGGGGUGUACCAGUACUGUUUGCAGAAGAAAGACGGCCCGCUGAGGAUAUGUAUCGUUUAUAGGCAGCUGAACAAGGUAACCAUUAAGAAUAGGUAUCGACUUUCAAGGAUCGAUGACUUAUUUGAUCAGUUGCAGGGGGCUAGAUGUUUUUUAAAGAUUGAUUUGAGGUCGGGGUACCGCCAGGUCAAAGUUCGAGAGAAAGAUAUUCCAAAGACAGCCUUCAAGACCCGAAAUGGCCACUUCGAGUUCCUUGUCAUGUCCUUCGGGUUGACGAAUGCACCCGUCAUAUUUAUGGACUUGAUGAAUAGCGUAUUUCGGGCAUUUUUAGAUAUGUUCGUGAUAGUAUUUAUUAACACGUACUUUUAGGGAGAAACACCACAUAAAUGCAGGGUGGUGGUCUGGUCGUUCGUCAUAACAUCUUCGGGUUGUUUGACUCUACUACGGUGGUCGUUUUGUGUAUGAAGUGAUUGGGGUAUGUUGGGUUGUUUUGUAGUAUUUUGUGGUGUAUAUAAGGUUGGAAUAUAAUGUAUAUAUGUUUAUAUUGUUGUGUUCUUGUGUUGUUAGUAUUAUCAUGAAUUUGGAGGAAGUAAGGAUUAUAGGGGAGAUGUUCCCCGUUUUAAUACAAAAUAAGUUUGUCGUUUGUUGUGCGAUAGUUGUACCUUUCGUAACUUAAUGAUAGUAUUAUUAUUGUUGUUGUAGAUUAAGGUGCGAAGAGGCAAUUCAACUUGGCGAUUGAAAAGAUUGUGAUAAGGUAUGUUAAGGCCAAACCAUUCUUCAUUUUGGUAUGAUCCCGUAACUACAUGAGUUUGAUAACGAGGCAUAAAGAGAAGUUCGUAUUCCUAAAAUUAUGUACAUUAUCCUAGUCUCAUAAGUUACAUUAUUCUCCCUUAUAGGGACUUUAUAUUCAGUUAAGUAUUGUCUUCUUUCAGUAAAGAGGGUAGAGGGUAUAUAUAUAUACAGUAUUACAGUAUUUUCACCUCCAUCAAGCUAUAAUCGAUGGGCAGGCCCCUAUUGGGAAACCUCUGAUUAGAUGGUAAGUUAUAUACCGAGCCUACUGUGGCCGAGCGCCUAUGAGCGAUCCCGGAAUGGACGAGAUACCUAGCCUAGUAUGGCUGGGUGUCUAUGAGCGAGCCUACUAUGGCUGAGCAGUUACACGUAUCGAGCCUUAUAGGGCCGGACAUUUAUUUUACUUACUAUAUUGAGAGAGUUGAGUUAAUAUUAGCAGGUAAGUAUAUCUCCAGAUCAUCUUUGACUCCCAGAUACUUUCAGUUAUUAUAUUAUCAGUUUAGUUUCAGCUUUAAGUUAUUUUAUUUUCUUACAUACUCGGUACAUUAUUUCGUAUUGACGUCCCUUUUCUGGGGACGCUGAAUUUCAUACGUGCAGGUUCAUAUAGACACACGGGUAGACCUCCUCAGUAGGUGUUGCAUGAGUUCAACUUGAUCGGUAAUCUCCACGUCCUUCGGAGUUAUCGGGUCUAGGGUUUUGUGUACAUAUUGUGUAUAUAUGUAUAUAUGUUAUGGGUAGGUCAGGGCCCUGUUCCGAUCACAGAACAUCCAUCAGUAGAGGCUUGUAGACAUAUCCUGUCAGUUAGUACAACAUAUUGGGUUUGUAGGCUUUGUAUGUAUAUUUUGUUGGUUUGUCAUUAGUAGUAGUUAUGAUGGCCUUGUCGACCCAACUUUAUAUUGAUGUUUAAUCAAAGCUAGUUUCGGUUCUGUUUUAUAUUUUGCUUCGAAAAUUAUCUUGCAAUGUGGCCCCAUGGUCAAAGUAUGACAUUGUAUGUUCAGAGUUCCUCUGUCGCAAGUUGGUACGCUAGGUUAAGUGAGGCACCGGGUGUCGGUCUCUCCCCCAGGUUCAGGGCCUGAUGGUUUUAAAGUACUUCAAAUUUGGGUUGGAGUAGGUUUUGGUGUUAUUGAGGUCAAAUUGGGAUUCCGAGAUGGGGAAUAGUUCUGUAUGGUGAUAUAAGACUUGUCCGCAAAAUUUUGUAUCAUUCUGAGUAGUCUAAGUCUGAUUCAGCACUUUUCGAGCGAUUUGGAAACUUGAAGUUGAUAACUUGAUUCGAUUUGGUUUUGGGGUGUGAUUCUUGGUUUUGUUGUUGUUUUACGUGUUUCGAGAGUUCAAGCAGGUCCGUCUCAUAUUUAUGGACUUGUUGGUGUAUUUGGACAGGGUCCCGAGUGGCUCGGGGGUAUUUCGGACCGCCCGGAGGUGAGCUAGGAAAAACCAGAAAUUCCACUACUAGUUUCCUUCUUCGUGAAUGUGGAAGGACCCAUGCAUUCGCGAUGAAGGAUUUGGGCAAUGGGGCAAUUUUCCCUUCGCAUUCAUGAUAAAGGGUUCGCGUUCGCAGAGCCUUGAAGUCCGAGGCCUACGCGUUUGCGUAGAAGGAAGGGACCUGGGGAGGGUCAGUGCUAAUUUCUCUUCACGUUCGCGAAGGUUGCCUAGCGUUCGCGUAGGGCAGGGCUGGUACACCUCCGCGUUCGCGAGGCCCUAUUCGCAUUCGUGUAGACCAAGCUUUUCUGGGCCUAGCCGUUAGCCAUCACGAACAUGAGGCCUGUUCCGCAUUCGCGAAGAAGGGGCAGCUAGGCAGUGUGUUUUAAAAAUCGGGACUUAUCUAUUUUUGGGUUCAUUUAUUGUACUCUUGGGCGAUUUUAGAGCUUCAAAGGGGGGGUAUUUCAACCUAGCUAUUUAUAGUAAGUAAUUUCUACCUAAUGUGAGCUUAAUACAUAGAUUAUAGGUACAUUUUAACAUGUAAAUUUGUGAAAAUUAUGGGUUUAGAUGAAAAACCUAGGUUUUUGAUAAAAAUGGGAUUUAACCACGAAAAUGGUUAUGGAAUUUAGUAAAAAUCAUAUAUUUGGGUUCAUGAGGUUAUGAAUAACAACUUUCUUCAAAUAUUUCCGAAAUCCAAGCACGUGGGCCCGGGGGUAAAUUUAGGAAUUCUUCAAUUAGGGUUGGGAAAUCACUUUAAUAGUUAGGAUAUGAACGUUUGAACAUGUACUGACUAUUUUAUAUAAUAUUUGGAUAGUUUAGAGUCGUUUGGCACAGAGUUGAGGGUUUAAAGCAUAAUUGUGGACAGGAAAGUAAGCUUUGGGACGAGGUAAGUCUCUUUUCUAACCUUGUAAGAGGAAAUUAACCCCAUAGGUGAAUUGAAUUAAUAUGUGCUUCUAUUUGUGGGGGCUACGUACGCACGAGGUGACGAGAGUCCGUACGUAGCUACUAAUUAUGCUUAUGUCCCGGUAGUUUAGGAUCCAAAUCAUGUUAUACUUGCGAUGUUUGCACCCUACUUGUAAUUUAAUGCCUAAACCAUAUUGGAACUUGAUAAAGGAAUUGUAAAAGACCGAAUUUCAUUUACUUGAGUUUUGGACGGGUUACUUGACCGUUUUUGAGAAUUGGUGUUUUCCUUGAACAUUUGCCUCUUAAUAAUCUUUGAAUCGGUUGUUUAUAAAGUAUUUUCUCUUCUUGUGGAGCGGGCCGAACACCUCGGUAAUAGAAUAGAUGCAUCUAUGGUUCGUGCCGUUCGACCCUCGGCAGUGCACAAUUUAUAUAUUUAUAUGUUGGAUCGGGCCGUAUGACCUUAGCAUAAUUCCUGUGUAAUAAUUCUUGGAGCCCAAUUAUAAUUGAUAUUGUUUCAUUGGUUUGAGAGAUUGAUUUGUUAAAUGAUGGAAAUUAAUUUGGGAUUUACUAUUAGUGAAAGAAUUGUUUAUUUAUUUCUUAUUAUUGAGUUUUCAGCUAUAUUUUUAUAAUCCAUUCUUAAUUAUAAUUUCGGUAUUUAUUGUUAGCCCAUNNNNNNNNNNNNNNNNNNNNNNNNNNNNNNNNNNNNNNNNNNAUGUACUCACGCUACACUUCUGCUCUAAUCGUGCAGGAUCUGAGGCAGGUGCAUCUGGCUAUCAGUCCGGCACGCAUCCUUGAUUUCUUCGAGAUUUAGCGGUGAGCUACCUUCCGAGCCUGUUCCGCAGCACCCGAAGUAUUCCUUUUAUUUUUACUUUCUGUCUAUUUCACUUCAUACAGUAGUGUAGUAUUUGUAUAUUCAACUAGUAGCUCAUACACUUAUGACACCUGGUCUUGGAGAUCAUGCUAGUAGACACAUGAUGAUUUUUGGAUAUUUACUCAUCUCAUUUGCUCUUAAAAUUAUUUAUCUCUCAUUUUAUUUAAACUUUUAUUUCCUAUUUAUGCACUAAAUAAAAAUCAGCUAUUUCAAAAAUGUUAAAAGAAACAAUCACAUGGUUAGUUCACUGUUGGCUUGCCUAGCGAUAACGUUGAGAGCCAUCACGGCAUAUAGAAGGAAUUGGGUCGUGGCAAUAUGGUAUCAGAGCACUAGGUUCACGUAGGUCUCACAAGUUAUGAGCAGGCCUAAUAAAGUCUUGCGGAUCGGUGCGGAGACGUCCAUACUU